UACGUAGGGGGCAAGCGUUGUCCGGAUUUAUUGGGCGUAAAGAGCGUGUAGGCGGCCAUGUAGGUCCGGUGUGAAAACUCGAGGCUUAACCUCGAGAUGUCAUCGGAAACCAUUUGGCUAGAGUCCGGAAGAGGAGAGUGGAAUUCCUGGUGUAGCGGUGGAAUGCGCAGAUAUCAGGAGGAACACCGAUGGCGAAGGCAGGUCUCUGGGCCAUUACUGACACUGAGAAGCGAAAGCAUGGGGAGCGAACAGG
Molecule: ribosomal RNA, 253 nt
Filed under: uncultured bacterium
Lineage: Bacteria
Description: partial 16S ribosomal RNA
Rfam family: Bacterial small subunit ribosomal RNA
Source: RNAcentral